Molecule: non-coding RNA, 2318 nt
Organism: Microcebus murinus (gray mouse lemur)
Lineage: Eukaryota; Metazoa; Chordata; Mammalia; Primates; Cheirogaleidae
Source: RefSeq, a predicted model, not a curated record
AGGAGAGAGGUGGGGGGGGGAGAGUGAUAGGGAGAGACAGGAGCGCGGAGCGAUCCUCACGGUCCUAAUGCCCUUCAGCCCCGAGCGCGCGCGUCCCCCGGACGCCCAUUCAUUCGCGCGCAGAGCCGGUCCCGCGCUCCAGCCGCCGCGGGCCAACCGACCCCGCCGCUGCGCAUCGGGAGAAGAGCGCGCCGGGUAGGAAGUGUCGCGGGCCUUCCUCCCGCGCCCGGGAACCUGGCGAGACAGACGCCCGCGGCGGAAUGGCGACUGGCCAGAGCCAGCCUCGGCUCCCACCGCUCGGUGACCGAAUGCCCAGUGGCUGCCCCCUGCGGCUGUCCCGCCUACCUACACCCACUCCCAGACCAGGCGGCCCUGAGUCACCGACUGGAGAUGCUCGAACCCCAACCUGGGCCCGCGCCGCGGAGCUGCAGUUCCGGGCUGCGCUCUGAACUGCGCUCUGGCGCGGGGUUCAAGGUGCGUUCCACGAGACCUUGGGAAGCGACGGCUGGGCAGGGAAGAGAGUCCUGAGUUUGCACUGGAAUCCUCCGCAACCUAGGAUUCCGAGCUGCCCCAGAGCCCGCCCCAAGGAGGGAUUGGAAGCUGGUGCACUUGACAUUCCGGGACAGCGAAGAGGAAGCGACGCUGCCUCACACCCGAAGCAAGGAGAAAGGGGGAUACAACCACCCCACAUCUUUCACUGGCCUGGGGCUCCCAGAUUUCUUGACGUUUCCCUCCACUCCGCCUCAUUGUCCCCUGGACAACCCUGAGAUAUCAUCACCAUUAUUUCAUCAGAAAGAAGGGAGGCUAGAGAGGCUGGACGAUUCUCCUGAGGCCACAGGCUAAUUAGUGGGCAGAGCCCAGUCUAAAAGCCAUCCCUCCGUCUGACACUUUUUGACAAAGUGCAAAACGUGGUGGUGGUAAGAGCUGAGAACACAAACAUCCUUGAGAUUCCGCCCCAGCCCUGGAGGCAUUGAGAAUCAGGUGUGAACUACUCCCACUCCAGGCAGAAGGCAAGGAAUCAUGGGGCAGCCCAGUGGUCAUGUCAUCUGUGCAACACCAGGGAAGACCUUGCUCCUUCAGUGUCAGGCUCCACAGCACCUCCCAUUUUCACAUAGGCUCUCGGGAGAUCAAAGUCAGCCAGGUGAAAGGCGGCAAUAGCCCUAUUGCCAUAGGCUGUUCCCUUCAGCCCAGACUGGUCUAUGCAUAUCUAGUUGUCUUUGGUCUUAAAAGAGCCAGGUGAAAGGAUGUGGGAUCCGAAGACAUCACAUCACCUCCUGGUGAGAGGCUCCAAACUCACACCCCGGUGUGGGGGAUGAAGCUGGACUGUGCCAAACUGAAAUCAGGCUGGAAUGGAUUCCAGCAGAACCAUGGAAUCAAAGCAACACCUAAGAGACUUCCUGUUUCCUCCCAUUGCUUGAACUUUGAAGACAACAAAAGUAAUCAUAAUAGCUACAGUUUACUCAGCCCUCCAGUUGCCAGCCACUGUGCCAGCAUUUCACAUAAUGCUGUCUCUAAAGCUCCCACAACUCUGAGCUAAGGACUGUCAUCCCAACUGCAGAUGAGGAAACAUUGAGGCUACCCCACUUGCCUGGAGUCCUACAUCAAGAAAGAAGGCAGGGAUGGUGAAGAAAAUGUAUGCUACCACGUAACAGGCACUGUGCCAGUACACGACCCAUCAAGGAAGGCUCGACCAUCCCCAUUUCACAAAUGAAGAGCCCGACGCCUGCAGGGCACAUGCACCCACUGCCAGCUGACCGCACUUUAAGGCUCCAACUGUCUUUAAGGAAAAGAUAUUUGUAAGGAGGAAGAGGAGGCAUGUUCGGCUGAAUUUGAGUUCUCUGUGGUCAGGAAGGCAUCCAUAAAGCCAGGUCUGGAGCUCGGAAGCAGAGUGAAUGGGGCCAGUCAACUAGAGAUGAGAAAACUAGAAACACAAGGGGGGCAAAUAUGUUGCUGGGUGGCUGCCCAUGUACCCAGCACCUAGGCCUGGGGGAAAGGAUCCUGGACGCCUGUGUGAAGAUGGAGAUACAGAGAGUGGACACUUUUUUUCUGCCUCUGUCAGAUGCCUUGACAAAAUCAUCCGGCCCAGGCUCUUCAAGUCCUCACCAUCUGGUACACAUCAGGAUGGACCUCUAGACCUAGGGCUUGAGCAAAAUUUGGCUCAAUAUCAAAGAGGCCACGCAAGAAGACCACCGAGAAUUUGAGUUGAAGAGACCCACAGUCCUGGUCUGGCAUUUCCUUCAGUCUAAUGGUGCCUAUAAUUGAAACCUCCAUUUUCCCUGUGAAAGUGGGAAGUGGAAAUUAAAGCAAUGUUCCCAGGA